This 30-nucleotide non-coding RNA is filed under the name Homo sapiens (human). The record is from RNAcentral. Lineage: Eukaryota; Metazoa; Chordata; Mammalia; Primates; Hominidae.
UAGAAAGUUGGAAACCAGAAAGUUCUUUGC